Non-coding RNA from Thamnophis sirtalis, 966 nucleotides. Lineage: Eukaryota; Metazoa; Chordata; Lepidosauria; Squamata; Natricidae. The record is from RefSeq and is a predicted model, not a curated record.
UCUCUGAGCACUCUUUUUCUCAAGUCCAUUAUUUUAAAUUGCUUCUGCAGGCCUUCACUUAAAAAAAAAAACAAUGCACAGAUUUACUAUUCAAGAAGGGUGAAGAUCAGCCUCCUGAAGCUAAAUUUACUUUUGCAUAUAUACGCAUAGAUCCUCACUGUGCUUAUUAUGGUGAAGAUGGACAAAGGACUUUCUGUCAGCCACAACAGAAGCAUAAUUCACAAAUGCCCUAAAAUAGUUUGAAAAGAAUGGCCCUAAGGAUCACAGGCCAGUUUAAUAUUCUUUUAGUUGCCAGGAAAUGGUUUGGAUACUAAAGGGACUAUCCUUUCCGUGUUUACUUGGCUUGAGAAUCCCAUCGCAUGCUAUGGGAUUUAUCCUGAAUAAACACGCCUAGAGUCUCUCGGGUCAUCUUGAGUUUAUCCUAACUCGCCCAACGAAAACCAAUUUCAGUCCACCCCAUCCUCUGAAACCCAGGCCACGUAUUUACGGUUGCCGCUCUAACUGGAGCCGUUCCGAAGAAUCCGGGCCGGAGAAACACGUCGCGUUAAUAACGUUCUUAAGGCCGAAUUCAGGGACGGAGCAGUGGCUCCGAUCCAGACGGACUUUCGGGGAAAAUCCGACUCUCCGGGAUUUGUCGCGUAACGAGAGGGGCGGGGCCACGCCGGGCUCAGCUCAGGGAAGUUGCUGAAGUUGGAGCGAACGAGGGCUGAGCCUGGCAAGCGCUUUGGUCGGGCGGCCGGGGCCUCGCCGUGGGCGUCUUCGGGUGGGCUUCUCCUUUCGGCUCGGGCGGUGCAUGAUGGAAGCAGCAUGGCCACUCAUUUCUCCCUGACCCAGCUGUCAAGUGCAAAUCCGGUAUAUGAAAAAUAUUAUCGUCAGGUUGAUCCUAGUAAUUCUGGAAGAGUGUUGGCUUCUGAUGCAGCUGUCUUUUUGAAACAAUCAGGACUAACAGAUUUGAUACUUGGAAAG